ACCACACAUCAAAGCUCCAAAAGCUAAGGUAUUUAAGUAAUCUCCUCAUCCGCUUAACAUAAUUAAUUUGAAAGGGAUAAACUUACCAAAGACUAACAUUGGUCAACCUCUUAAAACAUUUGACAAGCAGGCAGACAGAAGGACUAGCGGCAUUAGCAUCAAGUAGUCGAUAUCAAAUAUCAGAUGUUAUUGUCCAUGUAAACCGUUGUUACUUUGUUUUCCAUGCAUAUACAGCAGUCAGUUCUACACAAUCCUAGGGUUAGUGGAAGGCAAAAAUUCUUAUCCACAAAUCAUCUAUUUCUCCAAGUUGAACUGUACAACUUAUCUAGAGUUAUUGCAGAGUCAUGAUUUGGUGCUUCACCAUACCUGUUGACAUGCAUAGAAGGUGAAGA
Telopea speciosissima is the source of this 392-nucleotide long non-coding RNA. RefSeq lists it as uncharacterized. The record is from RefSeq and is a predicted model, not a curated record. NCBI's taxonomy places the organism in Eukaryota, Viridiplantae, Streptophyta, Magnoliopsida, Proteales, Proteaceae. The transcript has 3 exons.